GAUGAACGCUGGCGGCGUGCCUAAUACAUGCAAGUCGAGCGAACAGACGAGGAGCUUGCUCCUCUGACGUUAGCGGCGGACGGGUGAGUAACACGUGGAUCACCUCCCUGUAUGACUGGGAUAACUUCGGGAAACCGGAGCUAAUACCGGAUAAUAUAUUGCACCGCAUGGUUCAAUAGUGAAAGACGGUUUUGCUGGCACUUAUAGAUGGAUCCGCGCUGCAUUAGCUAGUUGGUAAGGUAACGGCUUAUCAAGGCGACGAGGCGUAGCCGACCGGAGAGAGGGAUAGCCGACACGGGAAGUGAGACACGGACCAUACGCCUACGGGAGGCAGCAGUAGGGAAUCUUCCGCAAUGGGCGAAAGCUUGACGGAGCAACGCCGCGUGAGUGAUAAAAGUCUUCGGUGCGUAAAACUCUGUUAUUGGGUAAAAACAAAUUUGUAAGUAACUAUGCACGUCUUGACGGUACCUAAUCAGAAAGCCACGGCUAACUACGUG
Molecule: ribosomal RNA, 497 nt
Filed under: uncultured bacterium
Lineage: Bacteria
Description: partial 16S ribosomal RNA
Rfam family: Bacterial small subunit ribosomal RNA
Source: RNAcentral